Molecule: ribosomal RNA, 319 nt
Filed under: uncultured Chloroflexota bacterium
Lineage: Bacteria; Bacillati; Chloroflexota
Description: bacterial SSU rRNA
Rfam family: Bacterial small subunit ribosomal RNA
Source: RNAcentral
GAUGAACGCUGGCGGCGUGCCUAAUCCAUGCAAGUCGAACGGAGUAUCAGCAAUGGUGCUUAGUGGCGAACGGGUGAGUAACGCGUUGGUGACCUGCCCCAAAGCGGGGGAUAACAGAUCGAAAGGUCUGCUAAUACCGCGUAAGUUAUGCGUAGUUAGAGAGCGCAUAAGAAAGCCGAAAGGCGCUUUGGGAGGGGCCUGCGUCCCAUCAGCUAGUUGGUAAGGUAACGGCUUACCAAGGCGAUGACGGGUAGGGGACCUGAGAGGGUGGCCCCCCACAAUGGAACUGAAACACGGUCCAUACACCUACGGGUGGCUG